GAAAUCACUCAAAGACUAAAAGAGUAAAGAACAGAAGCAAAAUAACUCAAAAAAGAAAAGAGAAAUCACUCAAACACUAAAAGAGUAAAGAACAGAAGCAAAAUAACUCAAAAAAGAAAAGAGAAAUCACUCAAACACUAAAAGAGUAAAGAACAGAAGCGGAACCAAAAACAAGCGGAACCAAAAAACAAGCCCAACAAGAGGGGACGGAAAAGAGUGGAACGCAGACAGGAAAUGACUAAGCGGAAAACACAAACAAGGAAGUGGAGUGGAGAUGACCAAGCGGGAAACACAAACACAGAAGAGGAACCAAAAGACCAACAGAGGAACCAAAACAAACCACAAUUGAAGAAAAGCAACGGAAAGAGGAACAGCUACGAGACAGAAUAAACAAGAGAAGAUUUUGUUUGAAAGAAAAGCAUCUUGGGGAAACGACAAACGGAAGGACAAGAAGUCCAACAGACACAGUGAGUAAGCAGUGCCUGAAGAAGGCUAAACCAAGCCGAAACGUCGCGCGCGAAAAGCUUACUCGGGGGAAUGAUGCUGGACUGAUGUGGGGGGUGCCAUUAAAUGUAUAUGUGUAUGUAUUUAUUUUGGGGCGGACAUGCCAUUUUUUAUUUGAUGGACAGGGGGCGCCAAAUUUGGUUAGGGGAAUGGUGAAAAGACAAAGAAAGAUGUGGAACUAAAAUAAAUUGAACCUAAAUUAAGGAGGAAUUGAACCUAAAUUAAGGAUAAGAAAGAACAAAAUGAUACCAAAGUCAAAAUGAGGACAGACAAACUUAAAACCUAAAUUUGGAGGAUGGACGGAACAAAUUGUAAUUAAUGGAAGGAGGUUGGCACGCCAAAUUCGGCUAAUUAGAAGACAAAUAAAAUGAAAAGUCUAAAUUUAGAAAACUAAGAAAAACAAAACAAAGACAAAAAGUCACAAACAUAAAGUCAAAUAAGGACAAAGGGUGAUCAAAAGCAAUUUUAUUCACAAAAAAACAAAUGGAAGUCAAAUAAGACAAAAAUUAAAGUCAAAUAAGGACACAGGAUGAUCAAAAGCAACAAAAAACAAACUGAAGUCAAACAAGACAAAAAAUAAAGUCGAAUAAGGACACAGAGUGAUCAAAAGCAAUUUUAUUAACAAAAAAACAAAUGGAAGUCAAACAAGACAAAAAAUAAAGUCAAAUAAGGACACAGGGUGAUAACAAAAGACAAAUUGAAGUCAAAUAAGACAAAAAGGUCAAAACAAACAUAAAACCAAAUACGGAACAAUUGAAGUCAAAUAAGACAACAAAAAGGUCAAAACAAACAUAAAACCAAAUACGGAACAAUUGAAGUCAAAUAAGACAACAAAAAGGUCAAAACAAACAUAAAACCAAAUUGAAGUAACUCAAAUCAGAGUACAUUAAAGGGGAAUUCUUCCGCGUGUCUCAGUGGUGGGGCCGGGCGGUUGCGUAGUGUGGAGCUUGGGGGAUGGACAGUGCAUUUCCUUCCUCUCGGGGGCGCUCGCGUCCCCAGAGGGGGAGGCUCGGAUUCCCUUCCCUAACCUCGCCAGUGCCUCCCCCUUGCUCUCUUCUGCCCGAACCCCUCCCUUGGAUCCCGCGCCAUUGGCCUGGAUUCGGUGGGGUCCCUCGCCUGCGUGCUCGUCCCCCGGCCCUGGCCCUGGUCGCCUUGUCCCGCCUUCCGGACCUUACCUAUUGGAGUCGCGCCGCCAGAGAGCCUAAGCCGCGUGAGUGGAGUCGCGCCGCCGGAGAGCCGUAAGCCGCGUGAGUGGAGUCGCGCCGCCAGGGAGCCGUAAGACGCGUGAAUGGAGUCGCGCCGCCAGAGAGCCGUAAGCCGCGUGAGCUGGAGUCGUAGCUGGGAUCCGAGGGAUCCAUCCGCAACAGAGGAGGUGAUGCCGGACGAGCACGUGAACCAACAAAUUGGACCUUAGUCAGGUUGGUGGAAUGAGUGUGGCUGGAGUUGGCGCCAGUGGGGGGGGUCGCGUUGUGGGGGGAUUCCUGCCGGCUCCUCCUUGGAGGACCGGAUGCCUCACCCACUCCGGAUCCUAACCAUAACCUCAGAGGGGUCCAGCCCUAACCUUAAAUUUGGAUCUGCGCAACCCCAGUUACGCCAUUAAAUUCGGGGAAUAACCCGAACCCUAGGGCCUCUCCCAAUGGGGCGAAAAAUUCAAAAACUCAAAAAAGAAAGGAGAAAUCACUCAAAGACUAAAAGAGUAAAGAACAGAAGCAAAAUAACUCAAAAAAGAAAAGAGAAAUCACUCAAACACUAAAAGAGUAAAGAACAGAAGCAAAAUAACUCAAAAAAGAAAAGAGAAAUCACUCAAACACUAAAAGAGUAAAGAACAGAAGCGGAACCAAAAACAAGCGGAACCAAAAAACAAGCCCAACAAGAGGGGACGGAAAAGAGUGGAACGCAGACAGGAAAUGACUAAGCGGAAAACACAAACAAGGAAGUGGAGUGGAGAUGACCAAGCGGGAAACACAAACACAGAAGAGGAACCAAAAGACCAACAGAGGAACCAAAACAAACCACAAUUGAAGAAAAGCAACGGAAAGAGGAACAGCUACGAGACAGAAUAAACAAGAGAAGAUUUUGUUUGAAAGAAAAGCAUCUUGGGGAAACGACAAACGGAAGGACAAGAAGUCCAACAGACACAGUGAGUAAGCAGUGCCUGAAGAAGGCUAAACCAAGCCGAAACGUCGCGCGCGAAAAGCUUACUCGGGGGAAUGAUGCUGGACUGAUGUGGGGGGUGCCAUUAAAUGUAUAUGUGUAUGUAUUUAUUUUGGGGCGGACAUGCCAUUUUUUAUUUGAUGGACAGGGGGCGCCAAAUUUGGUUAGGGGAAUGGUGAAAAGACAAAGAAAGAUGUGGAACUAAAAUAAAUUGAACCUAAAUUAAGGAGGAAUUGAACCUAAAUUAAGGAUAAGAAAGAACAAAAUGAUACCAAAGUCAAAAUGAGGACAGACAAACUUAAAACCUAAAUUUGGAGGAUGGACGGAACAAAUUGUAAUUAAUGGAAGGAGGUUGGCACGCCAAAUUCGGCUAAUUAGAAGACAAAUAAAAUGAAAAGUCUAAAUUUAGAAAACUAAGAAAAACAAAACAAAGACAAAAAGUCACAAACAUAAAGUCAAAUAAGGACAAAGGGUGAUCAAAAGCAAUUUUAUUCACAAAAAAACAAAUGGAAGUCAAAUAAGACAAAAAUUAAAGUCAAAUAAGGACACAGGAUGAUCAAAAGCAACAAAAAACAAACUGAAGUCAAACAAGACAAAAAAUAAAGUCGAAUAAGGACACAGAGUGAUCAAAAGCAAUUUUAUUAACAAAAAAACAAAUGGAAGUCAAACAAGACAAAAAAUAAAGUCAAAUAAGGACACAGGGUGAUAACAAAAGACAAAUUGAAGUCAAAUAAGACAAAAAGGUCAAAACAAACAUAAAACCAAAUACGGAACAAUUGAAGUCAAAUAAGACAACAAAAAGGUCAAAACAAACAUAAAACCAAAUUGAAGUAACUCAAAUCAGAGUACAUUAAAGGGGAAUUCUUCCGCGUGUCUCAGUGGUGGGGCCGGGCGGUUGCGUAGUGUGGAGCUUGGGGGAUGGACAGUGCAUUUCCUUCCUCUCGGGGGCGCUCGCGUCCCCAGAGGGGGAGGCUCGGAUUCCCUUCCCUAACCUCGCCAGUGCCUCCCCCUUGCUCUCUUCUGCCCGAACCCCUCCCUUGGAUCCCGCGCCAUUGGCCUGGAUUCGGUGGGGUCCCUCGCCUGCGUGCUCGUCCCCCGGCCCUGGCCCUGGUCGCCUUGUCCCGCCUUCCGGACCUUACCUAUUGGAGUCGCGCCGCCAGAGAGCCUAAGCCGCGUGAGUGGAGUCGCGCCGCCGGAGAGCCGUAAGCCGCGUGAGUGGAGUCGCGCCGCCAGGGAGCCGUAAGACGCGUGAAUGGAGUCGCGCCGCCAGAGAGCCGUAAGCCGCGUGAGCUGGAGUCGUAGCUGGGAUCCGAGGGAUCCAUCCGCAACAGAGGAGGUGAUGCCGGACGAGCACGUGAACCAACAAAUUGGACCUUAGUCAGGUUGGUGGAAUGAGUGUGGCUGGAGUUGGCGCCAGUGGGGGGGGUCGCGUUGUGGGGGGAUUCCUGCCGGCUCCUCCUUGGAGGACCGGAUGCCUCACCCACUCCGGAUCCUAACCAUAACCUCAGAGGGGUCCAGCCCUAACCUUAAAUUUGGAUCUGCGCAACCCCAGUUACGCCAUUAAAUUCGGGGAAUAACCCGAACCCUAGGGCCUCUCCCAAUGGGGCGAAAAAUUCAAAAACUCAAAAAAGAAAGGAGAAAUCACUCAAAGACUAAAAGAGUAAAGAACAGAAGCAAAAUAACUCAAAAAAGAAAAGAGAAAUCACUCAAACACUAAAAGAGUAAAGAACAGAAGCAAAAUAACUCAAAAAAGAAAAGAGAAAUCACUCAAACACUAAAAGAGUAAAGAAUAGAAGCGGAACCAAAAACAAGCGGAACCAAAAAACAAGCCCAACAAGAGGGGACGGAAAAGAGUGGAACGCAGACAGGAAAUGACUAAGCGGAAAACACAAACAAGGAAGUGGAGUGGAGAUGACCAAGCGGGAAACACAAACACAGAAGAGGAACCAAAAGACCAACAGAGGAACCAAAACAAACCACAAUUGAAGAAAAGCAACGGAAAGAGGAACAGCUACGAGACAGAAUAAACAAGAGAAGAUUUUGUUUGAAAGAAAAGCAUCUUGGGGAAACGACAAACGGAAGGACAAGAAGUCCAACAGACACAGUGAGUAAGCAGUGCCUGAAGAAGGCUAAACCAAGCCGAAACGUCGCGCGCGAAAAGCUUACUCGGGGGAAUGAUGCUGGACUGAUGUGGGGGGUGCCAUUAAAUGUAUAUGUGUAUGUAUUUAUUUUGGGGCGGACAUGCCAUUUUUUAUUUGAUGGACAGGGGGCGCCAAAUUUGGUUAGGGGAAUGGUGAAAAGACAAAGAAAGAUGUGGAACUAAAAUAAAUUGAACCUAAAUUAAGGAGGAAUUGAACCUAAAUUAAGGAUAAGAAAGAACAAAAUGAUACCAAAGUCAAAAUGAGGACAGACAAACUUAAAACCUAAAUUUGGAGGAUGGACGGAACAAAUUGUAAUUAAUGGAAGGAGGUUGGCACGCCAAAUUCGGCUAAUUAGAAGACAAAUAAAAUGAAAAGUCUAAAUUUAGAAAACUAAGAAAAACAAAACAAAGACAAAAAGUCACAAACAUAAAGUCAAAUAAGGACAAAGGGUGAUCAAAAGCAAUUUUAUUCACAAAAAAACAAAUGGAAGUCAAAUAAGACAAAAAUUAAAGUCAAAUAAGGACACAGGAUGAUCAAAAGCAACAAAAAACAAACUGAAGUCAAACAAGACAAAAAAUAAAGUCGAAUAAGGACACAGAGUGAUCAAAAGCAAUUUUAUUAACAAAAAAACAAAUGGAAGUCAAACAAGACAAAAAAUAAAGUCAAAUAAGGACACAGGGUGAUAACAAAAGACAAAUUGAAGUCAAAUAAGACAAAAAGGUCAAAACAAACAUAAAACCAAAUACGGAACAAUUGAAGUCAAAUAAGACAACAAAAAGGUCAAAACAAACAUAAAACCAAAUUGAAGUAACUCAAAUCAGAGUACAUUAAAGGGGAAUUCUUCCGCGUGUCUCAGUGGUGGGGCCGGGCGGUUGCGUAGUGUGGAGCUUGGGGGAUGGACAGUGCAUUUCCUUCCUCUCGGGGGCGCUCGCGUCCCCAGAGGGGGAGGCUCGGAUUCCCUUCCCUAACCUCGCCAGUGCCUCCCCCUUGCUCUCUUCUGCCCGAACCCCUCCCUUGGAUCCCGCGCCAUUGGCCUGGAUUCGGUGGGGUCCCUCGCCUGCGUGCUCGUCCCCCGGCCCUGGCCCUGGUCGCCUUGUCCCGCCUUCCGGACCUUACCUAUUGGAGUCGCGCCGCCAGAGAGCCUAAGCCGCGUGAGUGGAGUCGCGCCGCCGGAGAGCCGUAAGCCGCGUGAGUGGAGUCGCGCCGCCAGGGAGCCGUAAGACGCGUGAAUGGAGUCGCGCCGCCAGAGAGCCGUAAGCCGCGUGAGCUGGAGUCGUAGCUGGGAUCCGAGGGAUCCAUCCGCAACAGAGGAGGUGAUGCCGGACGAGCACGUGAACCAACAAAUUGGACCUUAGUCAGGUUGGUGGAAUGAGUGUGGCUGGAGUUGGCGCCAGUGGGGGGGGUCGCGUUGUGGGGGGAUUCCUGCCGGCUCCUCCUUGGAGGACCGGAUGCCUCACCCACUCCGGAUCCUAACCAUAACCUCAGAGGGGUCCAGCCCUAACCUUAAAUUUGGAUCUGCGCAACCCCAGUUACGCCAUUAAAUUCGGGGAAUAACCCGAACCCUAGGGCCUCUCCCAAUGGGGCGAAAAAUUCAAAAUAACUCAAAAAAGAAAGGAGAAAUCACUCAAAGACUAAAAGAGUAAAGAACAGAAGCAAAAUAACUCAAAAAAGAAAAGAGAAAUCACUCAAACACUAAAAGAGUAAAGAACAGAAGCAAAAUAACUCAAAAAAGAAAAGAGAAAUCACUCAAACACUAAAAGAGUAAAGAACAGAAGCGGAACCAAAAACAAGCGGAACCAAAAAACAAGCCCAACAAGAGGGGACGGAAAAGAGUGGAACGCAGACAGGAAAUGACUAAGCGGAAAACACAAACAAGGAAGUGGAGUGGAGAUGACCAAGCGGGAAACACAAACACAGAAGAGGAACCAAAAGACCAACAGAGGAACCAAAACAAACCACAAUUGAAGAAAAGCAACGGAAAGAGGAACAGCUACGAGACAGAAUAAACAAGAGAAGAUUUUGUUUGAAAGAAAAGCAUCUUGGGGAAACGACAAACGGAAGGACAAGAAGUCCAACAGACACAGUGAGUAAGCAGUGCCUGAAGAAGGCUAAACCAAGCCGAAACGUCGCGCGCGAAAAGCUUACUCGGGGGAAUGAUGCUGGACUGAUGUGGGGGGUGCCAUUAAAUGUAUAUGUGUAUGUAUUUAUUUUGGGGCGGACAUGCCAUUUUUUAUUUGAUGGACAGGGGGCGCCAAAUUUGGUUAGGGGAAUGGUGAAAAGACAAAGAAAGAUGUGGAACUAAAAUAAAUUGAACCUAAAUUAAGGAGGAAUUGAACCUAAAUUAAGGAUAAGAAAGAACAAAAUGAUACCAAAGUCAAAAUGAGGACAGACAAACUUAAAACCUAAAUUUGGAGGAUGGACGGAACAAAUUGUAAUUAAUGGAAGGAGGUUGGCACGCCAAAUUCGGCUAAUUAGAAGACAAAUAAAAUGAAAAGUCUAAAUUUAGAAAACUAAGAAAAACAAAACAAAGACAAAAAGUCACAAACAUAAAGUCAAAUAAGGACAAAGGGUGAUCAAAAGCAAUUUUAUUCACAAAAAAACAAAUGGAAGUCAAAUAAGACAAAAAUUAAAGUCAAAUAAGGACACAGGAUGAUCAAAAGCAACAAAAAACAAACUGAAGUCAAACAAGACAAAAAAUAAAGUCGAAUAAGGACACAGAGUGAUCAAAAGCAAUUUUAUUAACAAAAAAACAAAUGGAAGUCAAACAAGACAAAAAAUAAAGUCAAAUAAGGACACAGGGUGAUAACAAAAGACAAAUUGAAGUCAAAUAAGACAAAAAGGUCAAAACAAACAUAAAACCAAAUACGGAACAAUUGAAGUCAAAUAAGACAACAAAAAGGUCAAAACAAACAUAAAACCAAAUUGAAGUAA
Phycodurus eques (leafy seadragon) is the source of this 7730-nucleotide long non-coding RNA. RefSeq lists it as uncharacterized. The transcript has 2 exons. The record is from RefSeq and is a predicted model, not a curated record. Lineage: Eukaryota; Metazoa; Chordata; Actinopteri; Syngnathiformes; Syngnathidae.